UGGUGUCAGAUCACCCCAGCAAGAUGAGCAGCCAAGCGUUUCUUUUCACCACCACUGGCUGAUGAGGAGGGCCAACUCGCCAUCUGAUUGGACACUUCAUCAGAAAUAAAGGCAUCCACAACAUUUUUGUUAAAGACAGAAAUCAACCCAGAGCAACCCUCAGACACUGGAUGGAAAAAACUGCCAUUCGGGUCCCGGCCUCUGUCCCUGCAGCCAAAACGCCUGGAAUUCAACAGACCAAGACUGAGAUUGUCAUCGUCCAGCAGCUGGCAGCACUCGCGAUCGGGGACACUGAACCACCCGCUGGCUGACCUUCUGCCAUGAGGACCCUUUACCUCCUGUUUGCAGUCUCCCUCUUCAUGAUCCAGAUUGCCCCAGGGUUCUUCCAGAUUUACGGGAACACCAAACUCUGUAAGCUCAGCGGUGGCUCAUGCUUCCUGAGGUCAUGUCCCCGCAAGUUCGUAAGCUUUGGAACUUGCACCCGAGAGUGCAUGUGCUGUAUACGGCGAGUGAGAGACUGAUUGUCAGAGCAGGAUCUCUCGGUGUCGGGACGAUGUCCCGCAUUUCUAACCCCAGUGGAUGCUGCAUCAUUGAGCGUCUCAUGCAACGUUUCCUUUGGCUGCAAAGAGUCUGAUCCAGAGAAACUCCAAAAGAGCAGGGUAUAAAUUGAAAGAAGAACCAGCAGCCCUUGAAUUCCCCCAUAAAGUUGGUCCUUUCUCUCCUUUGAAUUAAACCAAGCUUCUCUUAGAUCUGCUAAUCAA
Long non-coding RNA from Gavialis gangeticus (Gharial), 761 nucleotides. RefSeq lists it as uncharacterized. Lineage: Eukaryota; Metazoa; Chordata; Crocodylia; Gavialidae. The transcript has 4 exons. The record is from RefSeq and is a predicted model, not a curated record.